Long non-coding RNA from Schistocerca nitens (vagrant locust), 530 nucleotides. RefSeq lists it as uncharacterized. The record is from RefSeq and is a predicted model, not a curated record. Lineage: Eukaryota; Metazoa; Arthropoda; Insecta; Orthoptera; Acrididae. The transcript has 3 exons.
CACGACACCGCUACGGAACUAAAAAAAAUCAACUAAGCAAUAUGGCGGUAUGUGGCGUUGGCUUGUUUCAGGAUUUUUGUACGAGGACUAACAUUUGAUACAUGUUUGAUAUGAGAUGACAAUCCAUUACAGACACUGCAUCAGAAAUCAAGUUGUUUUACAGAAAAGAAAUAGCAUGCAUGAGUGGCAACUUGGGAAACAUGAAUUGUUCUUUGCUGAAUAAGGUCUCAGCUUCCAUUGUGGGAAUGGAAAGGUGGAAACAAGGUCUCAUCAGGAUGUUAAAAAUGAAGAACCAGGGUUAUUUACAACAAAGACUUUAUUUUGACCAGAUAAAACUGAUUACAUGAAACUGACACUCAUGGCAACCAUCCAAGUAUUUUCCAUACUGAUCUGGAAGAAAGACAAAACUGCUAACCACAAAAUUUUAAUAUUUAUGUAAUUAUAUCACUGAUAUAAACGGACUUCUAUUAGUGUAAAGCCUUGAAUUCGUUAAACAGUUCAUACUGCAAAAUGUUAGCAAAUUGACAAAU